This 497-nucleotide long non-coding RNA is filed under the name Cricetulus griseus (Chinese hamster). Its description in RNAcentral is "lncRNA (ENSCGRG00015039305.1)". Lineage: Eukaryota; Metazoa; Chordata; Mammalia; Rodentia; Cricetidae. The record is from RNAcentral.
CUAGUUAGUGCUUCAAUACUGUAUUGAAAAUGACUGGUCAUAGUGGAUAACCUGUUCUUGACUGUACUGGGAUUUCUUUGAGUUUUUCUCCAUUUGGAAUGAAGCUGACUGAGAAAGGUCCCAGGGCUUGGCUUGACCCUGCUCCUAGGUGGUGAACUCAAACUCACAGUGCCCUUGAUAUGGACUUGUUGUGGGAGUUACUGAAUUCCAGAUACCAUGCUCCAUCUUCCCUGGGCAUUGAAUGAGGAUUCACAACAGCAAGUCUCUAGAGAUCUUGGCCUUCAGCCUCAGAUGUGUUUGCAUCAUUGGUCCCUUUGUUCCGAGGCUCCCAACUUCUUGGGCUGAAUAGCUAUGGCUUCAUCUUGCUUCCUGUAGAUGGCCAUUGGAGUAUUCAGGGUUCUCUAGAGCCUAGCUUCUUAAACUGUGGUUUAACAUUCCAUAUGGGCUCACAUAACUCAGGAGGGGGUCACAAAACAUUGACAAUGGUAAAAGUUUUC